ACACGCAUGACACACUGCAUAUCAAUAAGCGGAGGAAAAGAAACUAACUAGGAUUCCCUUAGUAACGGCGAGUGAAGCGGGAAGAGCUCAAAUUUGAAAUCUUCAAGGUUCUACCUUGACGAAUUGUAGUUUAAAGAAGUGUUUUCUGUUGGAGUUUUGGUAAAAGUUCUUUGGAAUAGGACAUCAUAGAGGGUGAGAAUCCCGUAUUUGACCAUUAUUUCCAACUUUGUGAUACACUUUCAAAGAGUCGGAUUGUUUGGGAAUGCAGUCCAAAAUGGGUGGUAAGUUUCAUCUAAAGCUAAAUAUUGGCGAGAGACCGAUAGCGAACAAGUACCGUGAGGGAAAGAUGAAAAGAACUUUGAAAAGAGAGUUAAACAGUACGUGAAAUUGUCAAAAGGGAAGCGUUUGACACCAGUGUUGUUUUCUCGAAAAUCAAUUAAAAAUGAUGGGAUGUUGUGUUGUAUUGACUUUAUCAGCUUUCUGCACUUUUUUCUUAUCUUUUUUAAUGCACUUUUCGUUUAACAAGUCAACAUCAAUUUCUUUUGUUGUAAAAGAGUCAUUGGAAGGUGGCUUUUCUUUCGGAGAAAGUGUUUAUAGCCUUUGGCUUCUGCAAUCGGAGAGAUUGAGGUCUGCAGCGUAGAUCCUUCGGGGUUAGAUACAUUUGUGCUAAGCUAUAGUUCUUUAUAGUCAACUUGUUGACUAUAAUCAAUCCUGUAACUUACUCGCUUAUGCUAUUUUACCUACGCUUAGGAUGUUGACUGAUAUGUAGUCGUA
RNAcentral lists this ribosomal RNA (774 nucleotides) under uncultured Neocallimastigales. Its description in RNAcentral is "partial large subunit ribosomal RNA". It matches the Rfam family "Eukaryotic large subunit ribosomal RNA", at positions 23 to 644 of the family's 3401-position model. Lineage: Eukaryota; Fungi; Neocallimastigomycota; Neocallimastigomycetes; Neocallimastigales. The record is from RNAcentral.